RNAcentral lists this ribosomal RNA (253 nucleotides) under uncultured bacterium. RNAcentral's name for it is "partial 16S ribosomal RNA". It matches the Rfam family "Bacterial small subunit ribosomal RNA", at positions 524 to 776 of the family's 1533-position model. The record is from RNAcentral.
UACAGAGGUGGCAAGCGUUGUUCGGAUUUAUUGGGCGUAAAGGGUUCGUAGGCGGUUUGGAUAGUCGGAUGUGAAAUCCCACAGCUUAACUGUGGAACUGCAUUCGAAACUUCCAAACUCGAGUGUGAGAGGGGUAAAGAGAAUUCCGAGUGUAAGGGUGAAAUCUGCAGAUAUUCGGAGGAAUACCAGUCGCGAAGGCGCUUUACUGGCUCACAACUGACGCUGAGGGACGAAAGCUAGGGUAGCGAACGGG